GGCGGAGGUUGCACUCAGGACCGAGUGCAAGUAACAUAGAAUCAGCAUGACUCUUCAGAGGCUCUUCAGGUUCUCCUCUGUCAUUCUGUCAGCAGUCUCAGUCCAUUUGUGGAGGAACAUCAGUGUUACAGCAGUGGCAUUUAAUAAGGAACUUGAUCCUAUACAGAAACUCUUGUGGACAAGAUUAGAGAAUACAAAUCGAAGUGACAGACAUCUGGAGGACCUGUUGAUACUGGUCCAGAGUAUCAGCAAGAGCUUGAGAGGGAGCUUUUUAAGUUCAAGCAAAUGUUUGGUAAAACAGACAUGAAUACAUUUCCCAACUUCAAAUUUGAAGAUCCCAAAUCUGAAGUCAUCGAAAAACCCCAGGUCUGAAGAAAUAAAGUGAAAUUAAUCUGGUAAUUUAUCAUGGGUCAAUUGUACAACUAGUUAGAAGUUUCAGAAUAAACAUACAUUUCA
This 456-nucleotide long non-coding RNA is filed under the name Homo sapiens (human). Its description in RNAcentral is "long non-coding RNA NONHSAT192124.1". Lineage: Eukaryota; Metazoa; Chordata; Mammalia; Primates; Hominidae. The record is from RNAcentral.